UUCCCGGGCCUUGUACACACCGCCCGUCACACCACGAAAGUUGGCAAUACCCGAAGCCGGUGGCCCAACCCGCAAGGGAGGGAGCCGUCGAAGGUAGGGUCGAUGAUUGGGGUG
Molecule: ribosomal RNA, 114 nt
Filed under: uncultured bacterium
Lineage: Bacteria
Description: partial 16S ribosomal RNA
Rfam family: Bacterial small subunit ribosomal RNA
Source: RNAcentral